RNAcentral lists this ribosomal RNA (1177 nucleotides) under Bacillus sp. (in: firmicutes). RNAcentral describes it as "bacterial SSU rRNA". It matches the Rfam family "Bacterial small subunit ribosomal RNA", at positions 30 to 1185 of the family's 1533-position model. The record is from RNAcentral. Lineage: Bacteria; Bacillati; Bacillota; Bacilli; Caryophanales; Bacillaceae.
CUUGCGGUGGCGGGGUGCUAUACAUGCAGUCGAGCGAACUGAUUAGAAGCUUGCUUCUAUGACGUUAGCGGCGGACGGGUGAGUAACACGUGGGCAACCUGCCUGUAAGACUGGGAUAACUUCGGGAAACCGAAGCUAAUACCGGAUAGGAUCUUCUCCUUCAUGGGAGAUGAUUGAAAGAUGGUUUCGGCUAUCACUUACAGAUGGGCCCGCGGUGCAUUAGCUAGUUGGUGAGGUAACGGCUCACCAAGGCAACGAUGCAUAGCCGACCUGAGAGGGUGAUCGGCCACACUGGGACUGAGACACGGCCCAGACUCCUACGGGAGGCAGCAGUAGGGAAUCUUCCGCAAUGGACGAAAGUCUGACGGAGCAACGCCGCGUGAGUGAUGAAGGCUUUCGGGUCGUAAAACUCUGUUGUUAGGGAAGAACAAGUACGAGAGUAACUGCUCGUACCUUGACGGUACCUAACCAGAAAGCCACGGCUAACUACGUGCCAGCAGCCGCGGUAAUACGUAGGUGGCAAGCGUUAUCCGGAAUUAUUGGGCGUAAAGCGCGCGCAGGCGGUUUCUUAAGUCUGAUGUGAAAGCCCACGGCUCAACCGUGGAGGGUCAUUGGAAACUGGGGAACUUGAGUGCAGAAGAGAAAAGCGGAAUUCCACGUGUAGCGGUGAAAUGCGUAGAGAUGUGGAGGAACACCAGUGGCGAAGGCGGCUUUUUGGUCUGUAACUGACGCUGAGGCGCGAAAGCGUGGGGAGCAAACAGGAUUAGAUACCCUGGUAGUCCACGCCGUAAACGAUGAGUGCUAAGUGUUAGAGGGUUUCCGCCCUUUAGUGCUGCAGCUAACGCAUUAAGCACUCCGCCUGGCGAGUACGGUCGCAAGACUGAAACUCAAAGGAAUUUGACAGGGGCCCGCACCAGCGGUGGAGCAUGUGGUUUAAUUCUAAGCAACGCGAAGACCUUACCAGGUCUUGACAUCCUCUGACAACUCUAGAGAUAGAGCGUUCACCUUCGCCGACGGAGUGACAGGUGGCUGCAUGGCUGUCUGUCUGCUCGUGACGUGAGGAUGUUGGACUAAGUAGCGUUACUAUCGCACGGUGAUCCUUCGUUGCAAUUAUUUCAGCUAGGUAAAUCUAAGGCGACCUGCGGGUGAACUACACCGAAGACACGGUCGGGGAUGA